This 74-nucleotide transfer RNA is filed under the name Marmota monax (woodchuck). RNAcentral's name for it is "tRNA.Val". Lineage: Eukaryota; Metazoa; Chordata; Mammalia; Rodentia; Sciuridae. The record is from RNAcentral.
UCUGGGAUCAUGGCUCAGUGGUAGAGUGCUUGCCUCACAUGUGUGAGGCACUGGGUUUGAUUCUCAGCCUCGAA